UACGUAGGUGGCAAGCGUUGUCCGGAUUUACUGGGCGUAAAGAGCGCGCAGGCGGUCGUCCAAGUCGCGUGUGAAAGCCCCCGGCUCAACUGGGGAGGGUCACGCGAUACUGGUCGACUCGAAGGCAGGAGAGGGUAGUGGAAUUCCUGGUGUAGCGGUGAAAUGCGCAGAUAUCAGGAAGAACACCCGUGGCGAAGGCGGCUCUCUGGGACGGUACUGACGCUGAGACGCGAAAGCGUGGGGAGCGAACAGG
RNAcentral lists this ribosomal RNA (253 nucleotides) under uncultured bacterium. RNAcentral describes it as "partial 16S ribosomal RNA". It matches the Rfam family "Bacterial small subunit ribosomal RNA", at positions 524 to 776 of the family's 1533-position model. The record is from RNAcentral.